This 481-nucleotide ribosomal RNA is filed under the name uncultured bacterium. Its description in RNAcentral is "bacterial SSU rRNA". It matches the Rfam family "Bacterial small subunit ribosomal RNA", at positions 290 to 761 of the family's 1533-position model. The record is from RNAcentral.
GUCUGAGAGGAUGAUCAGCCACACUGGAACUGAGACACGGUCCAGACUCCUACGGGAGGCAGCAGUGGGGAAUCUUGCGCAAUGGGGGGAAAACCCCUGACGCAGCGACGCCGCGUGAGUGAUGAAGGCCUUCGGGUUGUAAAGCUCUGUGGGGAGGAGACGAAUAAGUGUAGUCGAAUAGACUGCAUGAUGACGGUAUCUCCUUAGCAAGCACCGGCUAACUCUGUGCCAGCAGCCGCGGUAAGACAGAGGGUGCAAACGUUGUUCGGAAUGACUGGGCGUAAAGCGUAUGUAGGCGGCUUUGCAGGUCGGAUGUGAAAUCCCUUGGCUCAACCAAGGAAGUGCAUUCGAAACCGCAGAGCUUGAGUGCCUGAGAGGAAGGUGGAAUUCUCGGUGUAGAGGUGAAAUUCGUAGAUAUCGAGAGGACACCCGUGGCGAAAGCGGCCUUCUGGAAGAGCACUGACGCUGAGAUACGAAAGCA